RNAcentral lists this ribosomal RNA (1978 nucleotides) under human metagenome. RNAcentral's name for it is "bacterial LSU rRNA". It matches the Rfam family "Bacterial large subunit ribosomal RNA", at positions 1 to 1979 of the family's 2925-position model. The record is from RNAcentral.
UAAAAUAAUUAAGGGCACACAAAGGAUGCCUAGGUAGUAAGAGCCGAUGAAGGACGUGGUAAGCUGCGAUAAGCCUAGAUAAGUUGCAAUCGAACGUAAGAGUCUAGGAUUUCCGAAUGGAGCAAUCUAUUAAGAUGGAGUCUUAAUACGAAAGAGGGAACCGCGUGAACUGAAACAUCUAAGUAACGCGAGGAAAAGAAAGUAAAAACGAUACCCAAAGUAGCGGCGAGCGAAAUGGGUCAAGCCUAAACCUUAAAUAUGUCAAGGAUACAGCCGUUGUAUUUAAGGGGUUGAGGGACAGAGUGAUGAAGAACUGUAAGAUAUUCAAUAUAGUGUAUUGAUGAAUUAGAAUUGUCUGGAAAGGUGAACCGCAGAAGGUGAAAGUCCUGUAUAAGUAAAUCCUUACACAUAUAACUUUGCUCCCAAGUAACAUGGAACACGAGGAAUUCUGUGUGAAUCUGUGAGGACCAUAUCUCAUAAGGCUAAAUACUCUUACUAACCGAUAGCGCAUAGUACCGUGAGGGAAAGGUGAAAAGAACCCCUGGAGGGGAGUGAAAUAGAACCUGAAAUUGUGUGCUUACAAGCGGUCAGAGCCCAUUUGGGUGAUGGCGUGCCUUUUGGAGAAUGAUCCUGCGAGUUACGUUAAACGGCGAGGUUAAGUAUAACGGAGCCGAAGGGAAACCAAGUCUUAAUAGGGCGAUUUAGUCGUUUGGCGUAGACGCGAAACCUGGUGAUCUAAACCUGUCCAGGAUGAAGCUGUGGUAAGACACAGUGGAGGUCCUAACCCACCGCCGUUGAAAAGUUGGGGGAUGAGGUAGGUUUAGGGGUGAAAAGCCAAUCGAACCAGGAGAUAGCUCGUUCUCUCCGAAAUGCAUCUAGGUGCAGCCUUGAGUGUUCAAUUAUGGGGGUAGAGCACUGAAUGAUCUAGGGGGCAUAUUGCUUACUGAAAUCAAUCAAACUCCGAAUACCAUAAUUUAUAGCUCAGGAGUGAGACUAUGGGAGUUAACUUCCAUUGUCAAAAGGGAAACAACCCAGACCACCAGCUAAGGUCCCUAAUUAUAACUAAGUGGGAAAGGAGGUGGAGAUUCACAAACAACUAGGAGGUUGGCUUAGAAGCAGCCAUACCUUUAAAGAGUGCGUAAUAGCUCACUAGUCGAGAGUCUCUGCGCCGACAAUGUAACGGGGCUAAGUUAUAAACCGAAGCUGUGGAAUCCUUUUGGAUUGGUAGGAGAGCGUUCUGUAGGCCGUUGAAGAAGAAGGGUAACCAACUUUGGAGGUAUCAGAAGUGAGAAUGCAGGAAUAAGUAGCGAGAAAGGGGGCGAGAAUCCCCCUCGCCGGAAGACCAAGGUUUUCAGGGUAAAGCUUGUCUUCCCUGAGUAAGCCGGGACCUAAGCCCAGGCUAUAAUGCGUAGGCGAAUGGAAAACAGAUUAAUAUUUCUGUGCCAGUCAUUUAUUGUGAUGGAGGGACGCAGAAGGGUAUGCGCGCGGACGAUCGGUUGUGUCCGUAGAAGUAUGUAGGGUGACUUAGUAGGUAAAUCCAUUAAGUUAUAUCUGAGGUAUGAUAUACAGUCGUAAGAUGAAUGCGCAAAUCCCACGCUGCCAAGAAAAGCUUCUAACGUUAAUAUAUGACUGCCCGUACUGUAAACCGACACAGGUGGUCAGGAUGAGAAAUCUAAGGCGGACAGGCUAACUCUCGUUAAGGAACUCUGCAAAAUAACCUCGUAACUUCGGGAGAAGAGGAGCCCUUGAGUGUUAGUAUCCAUGCGAUACAAAGCGCUCGAGGGUCGCAGUGAAGAGGCUCAAGCAACUGUUUAACAAAAACACAGGUCUAUGCUAAGCUGGAAGGCGAUGUAUAUGGGCUGACACCUGCCCAGUGCUGGAAGGUUAAGAGGAGGAGUGAGAGCUCCGAAUUGAAGCCCCAGUGAACGGCGGCCGUAACUAUAACGGUCCUAAGGUAGCGAAAUUCCUUGUCGGGUAA